GGCUGGUUUGAGUGCAGUGGUUUCACAAUUAAUUGAUCACAGCCAGUUACAGAUUUCUUUGUUCCUUCUUCACUCCCACUGCUUCACUUGAAUUGGCCAAAG
Vulpes vulpes (red fox) is the source of this 102-nucleotide unclassified non-coding RNA. It matches the Rfam family "Y RNA". Rfam says of the family: Y RNAs are components of the Ro ribonucleoprotein particle (Ro RNP), in association with Ro60 and La proteins. The Y RNAs and Ro60 and La proteins are well conserved, but the function of the Ro RNP is not known. NCBI's taxonomy places the organism in Eukaryota, Metazoa, Chordata, Mammalia, Carnivora, Canidae. The record is from Ensembl.